RNAcentral lists this ribosomal RNA (204 nucleotides) under uncultured bacterium. Its description in RNAcentral is "partial 16S ribosomal RNA". It matches the Rfam family "Bacterial small subunit ribosomal RNA", at positions 1291 to 1500 of the family's 1533-position model. The record is from RNAcentral.
AUUCGGAUUGGAGUCUGCAACUCGACUCCAUGAAGCUGGAUUCGCUAGUAAUCGCGCAUCAGCCAUGGCGCGGUGAAUACGUUCCCGGGCCUUGUACACACCGCCCGUCAAGCCAUGGGAGUCGGGAGUGCCUGAAGUUCGUGACCGUCACAGGAGCGACCUAAGGCAAGACCGAUGGCUGGGGCUAAGUCGUAACAAGGUACC